This 67-nucleotide transfer RNA is filed under the name Clostridioides difficile Y307. RNAcentral's name for it is "partial tRNA-Glu". It matches the Rfam family "tRNA". From Rfam's summary of the family: Transfer RNA (tRNA) molecules are approximately 80 nucleotides in length. Their secondary structure includes four short double-helical elements and three loops (D, anti-codon, and T loops). Lineage: Bacteria; Bacillati; Bacillota; Clostridia; Peptostreptococcales; Peptostreptococcaceae. The record is from RNAcentral. RNAcentral also lists the same sequence under 1 other name.
GGCUCGUUGGUCAAGAGGUUAAGACACCGCCCUUUCACGGCGGUAACAGGGGUUCAAUUCCCCUACG